Rattus norvegicus (Norway rat) is the source of this 76-nucleotide non-coding RNA. NCBI's taxonomy places the organism in Eukaryota, Metazoa, Chordata, Mammalia, Rodentia, Muridae. The record is from Rfam.
GGGGAUUUAGCUCAGUGGUAGAGCGCUUGCCUAGCAAGCGCAAGGCCCUGGGUUCUGGGUUCGGUCCCCAGCUCCG